UGAGGAAUAUUGGUCAAUGGGGCGAGAGCCUGAACCAGCCAAGUCGCGUGAGGGAGGAAGGUCCUACGGAUUGUAAACCUCUUUUGCCGGGGAGCAAAGGGGCCAUUGAUGGCAGGAUGAGCGUACCCGGAGAAAAAGCAUCGGCUAACUCCGUGCCAGCAGCCGCGGUAAUACGGAGGAUGCGAGCGUUAUCCGGAUUUAUUGGGUUUAAAGGGUGCGCAGGCGGCGCGCCAAGUCAGCGGUCAAAGUUCCGGGCUCAACCCCGGUGUCGCCGUUGAAACUGGCGUGCUCGAGUGCGUGCGAGGAAGGCGGAAUGCGUUGUGUAGCGGUGAAAUGCAUAGAUAUGACGCAGAACUCCGAUUGCGAAGGCAGCUUUCCAGCGCGCU
RNAcentral lists this ribosomal RNA (386 nucleotides) under uncultured Barnesiella sp. RNAcentral's name for it is "bacterial SSU rRNA". It matches the Rfam family "Bacterial small subunit ribosomal RNA", at positions 355 to 738 of the family's 1533-position model. Lineage: Bacteria; Pseudomonadati; Bacteroidota; Bacteroidia; Bacteroidales; Barnesiellaceae. The record is from RNAcentral.